This 634-nucleotide long non-coding RNA is filed under the name Olea europaea subsp. europaea. The record is from RNAcentral. Lineage: Eukaryota; Viridiplantae; Streptophyta; Magnoliopsida; Lamiales; Oleaceae.
AAAUUUUCAAAUUAAUUGUUCACAAAUUAUUGAAUUUUUAAAUCACAAUUAAAUAAUUGAUCACAAAUAACAAAAUUGUUGGUUACAUACCACCACCAACAAAACCAUCACAGCCAGAUCCACUGUCAACAAAAAACACCCCAACGCCAAAACAUAAAAAAACCAUAAACACCACCAAAUGCAGCAAACUACCACCAUCAUUGUUCUCUAGCGGCAGCAUUUCAAACUCUCCAUCGACAGCUAUGCAAUCUCUACAUCGACAGUACAGAUCAGAGAGAAAGUCGCAGCCGCGCGUAGAGACAUCAUUGAUCUUAGACGCUGGCAUUGCAACUUUCCUGCUUUCAGCGAAACGGGCGACAGUACAAUCUCCAGCGAUGGUAGCACUCAAAUCUCAGAUCUCCAGCAAUCUGACAUUUAGCGCUUUAGCCUGAGCGAGUCGUCAAUAGUCACGAAUCCAUGGAGAGCCAUUGUCAUUGUGAGUUUGACGGUGGUCUCCAAUAGUGGGUGCGACGGUUCCAGAGAGCGGGUUAGGUGGAGAGGGUGAGAAGAGAAGAUGGAGAGAAACAGAUUUUAAGGUUUGGAAUUAAAUUGGAUUGGGAUUAGAUAGAAUUAGAUAUAUUAUUAUUAGUUAAAC